UACGGAGGGUGCGAGCGUUAAUCGGAAUGACUGGGCGUAAAGCGUACGCAGGCGGUCUGUUAAGUCAGAUGUGAAAUCCCCGGGCUCAACCUGGGAACUGCAUUUGAAACUGGCAGGCUAGAGUCUCGUAGAGGGGGGUAGAAUUCCAGGUGUAGCGGUGAAAUGCGUAGAGAUCUGGAGGAAUACCGGUGGCGAAGGCGGCCCCCUGGACGAAGACUGACGCUCAGGUACGAAAGCGUGGGGAGCAAACAGG
RNAcentral lists this ribosomal RNA (253 nucleotides) under uncultured bacterium. RNAcentral's name for it is "partial 16S ribosomal RNA". It matches the Rfam family "Bacterial small subunit ribosomal RNA", at positions 524 to 776 of the family's 1533-position model. The record is from RNAcentral.